GUAAAGUGGCGCACGGGUGAGUAACACGUGGCUAACCUACCCUGGAAUGGGGGAGUAACUGAGGGAAACCUUAGCUAAUACCGCAUAACACCUACGGGUCAAAGGAGCAAUUCGCUCUAGGAGGGGUCGCGGCCGAUUAGUUAGUUGGCGGGGUAAUGGCCCACCAAGACAAUGAUCGGUAUCCGGCCUGAGAGGGCGCACGGACACACUGGAACUGAAACACGGUCCAGACUCCUACGGGAGGCAGCAGUGGGGAAUUUUGCGCAAUGGGGGGAAAAACCCCCUGACGCAGCAACGCCGCGUGGAGGAUGAAGUCCUUCGGGACGUAAACUCCUUUCGAUCGGGACGAUAAUGACGGUACCGGAAGAAGAAGCCCCGGCUAACUUCGUGCCAGCAGCAGC
Molecule: ribosomal RNA, 401 nt
Filed under: uncultured bacterium
Lineage: Bacteria
Description: bacterial SSU rRNA
Rfam family: Bacterial small subunit ribosomal RNA
Source: RNAcentral